Molecule: ribosomal RNA, 2902 nt
Filed under: Escherichia coli
Lineage: Bacteria; Pseudomonadati; Pseudomonadota; Gammaproteobacteria; Enterobacterales; Enterobacteriaceae
Description: bacterial LSU rRNA
Rfam family: Bacterial large subunit ribosomal RNA
Source: RNAcentral
GGGUUGUGAGGUUAAGCGACUAAGCGUACACGGUGGAUGCCCUGGCAGUCAGAGGCGAUGAAGGACGUGCUAAUCUGCGAUAAGCGUCGGUAAGGUGAUAUGAACCGUUAUAACCGGCGAUUUCCGAAUGGGGAAACCCAGUGUGAUUCGUCACACUAUCAUUAACUGAAUCCAUAGGUUAAUGAGGCGAACCGGGGGAACUGAAACAUCUAAGUACCCCGAGGAAAAGAAAUCAACCGAGAUUCCCCCAGUAGCGGCGAGCGAACGGGGAGGAGCCCAGAGCCUGAAUCAGUGUGUGUGUUAGUGGAAGCGUCUGGAAAGGCGCGCGAUACAGGGUGACAGCCCCGUACACAAAAAUGCACAUGCUGUGAGCUCGAUGAGUAGGGCGGGACACGUGGUAUCCUGUCUGAAUAUGGGGGGACCAUCCUCCAAGGCUAAAUACUCCUGACUGACCGAUAGUGAACCAGUACCGUGAGGGAAAGGCGAAAAGAACCCCGGCGAGGGGAGUGAAAAAGAACCUGAAACCGUGUACGUACAAGCAGUGGGAGCACGCUUAGGCGUGUGACUGCGUACCUUUUGUAUAAUGGGUCAGCGACUUAUAUUCUGUAGCAAGGUUAACCGAAUAGGGGAGCCGAAGGGAAACCGAGUCUUAACUGGGCGUUAAGUUGCAGGGUAUAGACCCGAAACCCGGUGAUCUAGCCAUGGGCAGGUUGAAGGUUGGGUAACACUAACUGGAGGACCGAACCGACUAAUGUUGAAAAAUUAGCGGAUGACUUGUGGCUGGGGGUGAAAGGCCAAUCAAACCGGGAGAUAGCUGGUUCUCCCCGAAAGCUAUUUAGGUAGCGCCUCGUGAAUUCAUCUCCGGGGGUAGAGCACUGUUUCGGCAAGGGGGUCAUCCCGACUUACCAACCCGAUGCAAACUGCGAAUACCGGAGAAUGUUAUCACGGGAGACACACGGCGGGUGCUAACGUCCGUCGUGAAGAGGGAAACAACCCAGACCGCCAGCUAAGGUCCCAAAGUCAUGGUUAAGUGGGAAACGAUGUGGGAAGGCCCAGACAGCCAGGAUGUUGGCUUAGAAGCAGCCAUCAUUUAAAGAAAGCGUAAUAGCUCACUGGUCGAGUCGGCCUGCGCGGAAGAUGUAACGGGGCUAAACCAUGCACCGAAGCUGCGGCAGCGACGCUGAUGCGUUGUUGGGUAGGGGAGCGUUCUGUAAGCCUGCGAAGGUGUGCUGUGAGGCAUGCUGGAGGUAUCAGAAGUGCGAAUGCUGACAUAAGUAACGAUAAAGCGGGUGAAAAGCCCGCUCGCCGGAAGACCAAGGGUUCCUGUCCAACGUUAAUCGGGGCAGGGUGAGUCGACCCCUAAGGCGAGGCCGAAAGGCGUAGUCGAUGGGAAACAGGUUAAUAUUCCUGUACUUGGUGUUACUGCGAAGGGGGGACGGAGAAGGCUAUGUUGGCCGGGCGACGGUUGUCCCGGUUUAAGCGUGUAGGCUGGUUUUCCAGGCAAAUCCGGAAAAUCAAGGCUGAGGCGUGAUGACGAGGCACUACGGUGCUGAAGCAACAAAUGCCCUGCUUCCAGGAAAAGCCUCUAAGCAUCAGGUAACAUCAAAUCGUACCCCAAACCGACACAGGUGGUCAGGUAGAGAAUACCAAGGCGCUUGAGAGAACUCGGGUGAAGGAACUAGGCAAAAUGGUGCCGUAACUUCGGGAGAAGGCACGCUGAUAUGUAGGUGAAGCGACUUGCUCGUGGAGCUGAAAUCAGUCGAAGAUACCAGCUGGCUGCAACUGUUUAUUAAAAACACAGCACUGUGCAAACACGAAAGUGGACGUAUACGGUGUGACGCCUGCCCGGUGCCGGAAGGUUAAUUGAUGGGGUCAGCGCAAGCGAAGCUCUUGAUCGAAGCCCCGGUAAACGGCGGCCGUAACUAUAACGGUCCUAAGGUAGCGAAAUUCCUUGUCGGGUAAGUUCCGACCUGCACGAAUGGCGUAAUGAUGGCCAGGCUGUCUCCACCCGAGACUCAGUGAAAUUGAACUCGCUGUGAAGAUGCAGUGUACCCGCGGCAAGACGGAAAGACCCCGUGAACCUUUACUAUAGCUUGACACUGAACAUUGAGCCUUGAUGUGUAGGAUAGGUGGGAGGCUUUGAAGUGUGGACGCCAGUCUGCAUGGAGCCGACCUUGAAAUACCACCCUUUAAUGUUUGAUGUUCUAACGUUGACCCGUGAUCCGGGUUGCGGACAGUGUCUGGUGGGUAGUUUGACUGGGGCGGUCUCCUCCUAAAGAGUAACGGAGGAGCACGAAGGUUGGCUAAUCCUGGUCGGACAUCAGGAGGUUAGUGCAAUGGCAUAAGCCAGCUUGACUGCGAGCGUGACGGCGCGAGCAGGUGCGAAAGCAGGUCAUAGUGAUCCGGUGGUUCUGAAUGGAAGGGCCAUCGCUCAACGGAUAAAAGGUACUCCGGGGAUAACAGGCUGAUACCGCCCAAGAGUUCAUAUCGACGGCGGUGUUUGGCACCUCGAUGUCGGCUCAUCACAUCCUGGGGCUGAAGUAGGUCCCAAGGGUAUGGCUGUUCGCCAUUUAAAGUGGUACGCGAGCUGGGUUUAGAACGUCGUGAGACAGUUCGGUCCCUAUCUGCCGUGGGCGCUGGAGAACUGAGGGGGGCUGCUCCUAGUACGAGAGGACCGGAGUGGACGCAUCACUGGUGUUCGGGUUGUCAUGCCAAUGGCACUGCCCGGUAGCUAAAUGCGGAAGAGAUAAGUGCUGAAAGCAUCUAAGCACGAAACUUGCCCCGAGAUGAGUUCUCCCUGACUCCUUGAGAGUCCUGAAGGAACGUUGAAGACGACGACGUUGAUAGGCCGGGUGUGUAAGCGCAGCGAUGCGUUGAGCUAACCGGUACUAAUGAACCGUGA